Molecule: ribosomal RNA, 496 nt
Filed under: uncultured bacterium
Lineage: Bacteria
Description: partial 16S ribosomal RNA
Rfam family: Bacterial small subunit ribosomal RNA
Source: RNAcentral
AUUGAACGCUGGCGGAAUGCUUUACACAUGCAAGUCGAACGGUAGAGGGGGCAACCCCUCGAGAGUGGCGAACGGGUGAGUAAUAUAUCGGAACGUGCCCAGUCGUGGGGGAUAACGUAGCGAAAGUUACGCUAAUACCGCAUACGAUCUACGGAUGAAAGCGGGGGAUCGCAAGACCGCGCGCGAUUGGAGCGGCCGAGAUCAGAUUAGGUAGUUGGUGGGGUAAAGGCUCACCAAGCCAACGAUCUGUAGCUGGUCUGAGAGGACGACCAGCCACACUGGAACUGAGACACGGUCCAGACUCCUACGGGAGGCAGCAGUGGGGAAUUUUGGACAAUGGACGCAAGUCUGAUCCAGCCAUUCCGCGUGCAGGAUGAAGGCCCUCGGGUUGUAAACUGCUUUUGUACGGAACGAAAAGGUCUCUCUUAAUACGGGGGGCUCAUGACGGUACCGUAAGAAUAAGCACCGGCUAACUACGUGCCAGCAGCCGCCGUAA